RNAcentral lists this long non-coding RNA (466 nucleotides) under Chrysolophus pictus (golden pheasant). RNAcentral describes it as "lncRNA (ENSCPIG00010014539.1)". The record is from RNAcentral. Lineage: Eukaryota; Metazoa; Chordata; Aves; Galliformes; Phasianidae.
GCUCCGUCUGCCGGCAGGUGGCAGCACCGCGCGGCUGGGCGGCACCCGGAACCCGACUGUGAUGCCUCUCUAUGUAUCGCUUUCCGUUCCCACCGUCGUGCAGAAGUACUACAGCCUCGUGCCGGCCUGCAGGCGCGGAGAGCACGAAGCGAAACACGUCUGCAGGUACCACGGCCGGCAAGCGGGAGAGGAAGAGCUGGAGUCCGCCGAAGACAAGAAAAGUGCGGCUUCUGCAGCAUCCAGUCGAGCUAGACCUUGGCAGCAACGUACCAAGAAAGCUUCCAAAGACAUCUACAUCGAAGUCUCUCCUGGUAUUUAUUCUAUCACAGCAACUUCAGAGGACAUGGUGAAACAAACCCACGUGGUGGACGUCAGUGCUGGACAAAGCAUUGAUUUGACUUUUGUUCUAUGACGUUCAUCUUUUGCUGGCAAUCAUGGGAAUAAAAUACUAGGAUUUUUUAAAGCA